Non-coding RNA from Coffea arabica (coffee), 468 nucleotides. The record is from RefSeq and is a predicted model, not a curated record. NCBI's taxonomy places the organism in Eukaryota, Viridiplantae, Streptophyta, Magnoliopsida, Gentianales, Rubiaceae.
UGUGUUGUGUGUGAGAGAGAAAGAAGGGGAGGAAUGGGGAGAAGAAGAAGAAGAAGAAAGAAGGAGAAGAGAAGAGGAAGGAGCUGAAAGAGUAGAGGAAGGAGUCAGGACCGGACAGCGAAGUAUUGUUGGAUGCAGGUACUUCUAUGGCUUGGUUCGGUUUCCAAUUACUCAGAACUCGACGAUUCUUUAGUAGCCGAACUAUAGCUUAGAAAUUGGAUUAGUGUGGUAACUAUUAUUUUAUAGUCAUUCUUGCGCAGAGGCCAUGCUAAUCUUCUCUGUAUUGUUCCAAUUAUUUUCUAGUCAAUUUGUAGCUUAGACAGGAUUGGUUAUCUAGUACGGGAGAAGCGAGCAAAUACAGCAGAAACCUUGCAAGGACAUUGCAUCUUUCAGAAGUGUUAUAGCUCAUGACUUAAGAAUCAAGAUUAUUGCAUUCUUCCUCAGCUUGUGCAAUUACUUUUGAACAUU